Molecule: long non-coding RNA, 670 nt
Filed under: Lepidothrix coronata (blue-crowned manakin)
Lineage: Eukaryota; Metazoa; Chordata; Aves; Passeriformes; Pipridae
Description: lncRNA (ENSLCOG00000015194.1)
Source: RNAcentral
UGACAGGAAUCUGCUGCAGUUCCCGGCCUGGCCUUUCAGAAGAGUUUAUACCAAGCAAUUUUCCUGAGAGGAACAGACUAUUGCACCUCAUUGCUCUGUGCUGGCAUCAGGAUCCAGCUCACAGACCACGGACUGCAGAAUGUGUAGAUCUUCUAAAUGGAAUUUUGACUAGUAUAAAUAAGGAGGCAAUUUCCACAGCAAUCUACAGUCUGAUGGAUGCAAAGGAGAGAGCGCUUGAUGCUUGCAAAGGCUCAGCCACGUACACCCUGCAGACAGGCACCUGCAACUCAGAGAUCAUCUGUCCACCAAAAAACAACCGCUUAAUCAGCAAGAAAAUUCCUUUCAUAGUGCCAAGCUCAACUGGCCUACUUGAUAGCAGUGGAAAUAAUGCAGGAAGAGAGAAUAUUCUUGAGAUGGGUCUGUCAAAUACUAUCCCACAGAAUGCAAAAACAAGAAAAGAUCAUCCAGGCUCUGAGAGUAGAAAACCACACUUGUUUAGGAAGAUUCCUUUAUGUGGUUCAGCUGCAGACACACAAAGCAGUCAGGAUGUGGCCCCACUGCUGGCUCUCCAGCACAGCCCACAGCCAGUGCACCCUGGACAAGCAGUGACAGGUGAGGCACCACUCCCAGCUUGAGCUGGUAAUAUUUGCCUUGGCCAGAUCUUAGCGAU